This 74-nucleotide transfer RNA is filed under the name Holosporales bacterium. RNAcentral describes it as "tRNA-Gly". It matches the Rfam family "tRNA". From Rfam's summary of the family: Transfer RNA (tRNA) molecules are approximately 80 nucleotides in length. Lineage: Bacteria; Pseudomonadati; Pseudomonadota; Alphaproteobacteria; Holosporales. The record is from RNAcentral.
GCGGGCGUAGUUCAAUGGUAGAACUUAAGCUUCCCAAGCUUGCGGCGUGGGUUCGAUUCCCAUCGCCCGCUCCA